Molecule: unclassified non-coding RNA, 400 nt
Filed under: soil metagenome
Description: partial contains 5.8S ribosomal RNA, internal transcribed spacer 2, and large subunit ribosomal RNA
Rfam family: 5.8S ribosomal RNA (bases 1-122)
Source: RNAcentral
GAUGAAGAACGCAGCGAAAUGCGAUACUUGGUGUGAAUUGCAGAAUCGCGUGAACCAUCGAGUCUUUGAACGCAAGUUGCGCCUCAAGCCAUUAGGUUGAGGGCACGUCUGCCUGGGCGUCACAUAUCGUUGCCUGAUGCCAGUUUCCUCGUGAUGGGUGACUGUGCAGGGCGAAUGAUGGCUUCCCGUGAGCAUUGUUGCCUCAUGGUUGGUUGAAAAUUGAGUCCUUGGUAGGGAGCGCCGUGAUAGAUGGUGGUUGAGUGACGAACGAGACCCAAUCAUGUGAGACCCCUACCGAAUUUGGCCUUCAUGACCCACAUGCGUCUUUGGAACGCUCAUGACGAGACCUCAGGUCAGGCGGGGCUACCCGCUGAGUUUAAGCAUAUCAAUAAGCGGAGGA